This 89-nucleotide transfer RNA is filed under the name Caudoviricetes sp. RNAcentral describes it as "tRNA-Ser". It matches the Rfam family "tRNA". From Rfam's summary of the family: Transfer RNA (tRNA) molecules are approximately 80 nucleotides in length. Their secondary structure includes four short double-helical elements and three loops (D, anti-codon, and T loops). Lineage: Duplodnaviria; Heunggongvirae; Uroviricota; Caudoviricetes. The record is from RNAcentral.
GGAGCAGUAAGCCUAAUUUGGUAAGGCAGCGGUUUGCUAAACCGCCAGUAACCCAUAAGGGUGUGCAGGUUCGAGUCCUGUCUGCUCCG